Camelina sativa (false flax) is the source of this 3952-nucleotide non-coding RNA. The record is from RefSeq and is a predicted model, not a curated record. NCBI's taxonomy places the organism in Eukaryota, Viridiplantae, Streptophyta, Magnoliopsida, Brassicales, Brassicaceae.
UUUUUUUUUAAUUCAUUGUACUGUGCAUGCCUUCCAAUUUAAUCACUUCUUCGCCUCUGUUAUUUUUGUUUUGGUUCCCCUAAUAAGUAAACUAAACUAAGUAAGUUUCUUAUUCGUCUAAUUGCAUUGCAGGUGUUUUGAUAUCGAAUUUAUGAUGAUCCGAUCAUCAUCAUCAUCGCUCCAGAUUGUUUGAUUUCUCAUAUGAAUUUUCACUUUGUUUUGUUUGAUUUUUAGGUUUAUGGAGGAUAUUAAAACGCUCUGAUCGGUGAUUUACUUUGAUUGGUCGUUUGUCAAGCGUUCGGUCUUCUCGUUUUUUUUUUGUUGUUGUUGGCAGAUUGCACAGUGGGGUUCGCUCUUUUGUUGAAUCUUUCUCUUCAUCAUCUGUUUUGGUGUUCUGAUCUAUGUAACCAGGGGUAACAGCAAUUCAGAUAGGCUUCAGAUGCAAAGCUCUACCGACCUGACUGUGGAGGAUGCUUUGCUCGGUGGGUGAUGGUUCUGAUGGAUCCCUGUCUUCUCUGCGCUACCUCUUAAGAUGACGUUCUUGCUGAGAGAUCAAAGAUCCACAGAUUAUCCCCUACACGGGUUUGCCUUGAAGGUCUUAGACCAGGUCUCCCUAAGCCAAAGAUCACGAGGAACGAAGCUUUCUGUCUGGGAGUGCGUUGGAUUUCUGAGUUCAACUUUCAGAUGUCGUGCUGUCAUGUCUCAGUUUAUCUUGAAGGAUUCCUUUGCUCUGUCGUUACUCCCUGUUGCCUCUUUGACAGUCUCCCUUUGUUAUAUCCCAGGCAGCAUCAAGAACUCUUUGACAGGCUUUGAUGGAAACACUUCUUCUAUGACUAUGGGCUACGUCUUCAAGGGGUGUUUUGGAACCCAAUUAUGAUAUGAUUAUGGCGUAAUCUUCUCCAGGCUCCUAUGUCUUCAGGCACGUUCUCACAGAUUGGAGGAUGCCACGAUUGAUCGGUGAUGGAUUUGGCUGAUCGUUGUCACUUUAAUUUAUGUUGAUUUUUCUUCUAGGGUUUGGUUUCUAAAAAUUGAAUCGUUCAAGGCCUUUUUUGAUAUUAUGUUCAUGCGAUUUUUAACUCUUCUUCGCUCUGUUAUGUAUUUAAGAUUGUGGAGGAGGAUGCUUUGAUCGGUUGGUGAUGGUCUUGAAUUUUGAUAGAUCAUUUUUGUCUUCUCUGCGCUACAUCUUCAGGUAAUUUCUUGGACCUUGUUGCUGUUGUUUUUGUUGUGACCAUGGCGUUUCUCACUACAACUAAUCUCAUCUUCAACUCCGACCAAGAAGCAAAUCCGAGAUGGUUUUGAAGAAUUGGAAAGUCUCAUAACAUACCUCAACAAAGAUAUGGUGCAAGCCAAUGUCGUUUUGCAAGUGUGGAUCGGAGGACCUUGCUCUGUCCAUGAUAGAAAGUUAGAAACUAUCCUCUCUCUCUCGGAACAACCUGUUUAUGGAGGAUAUAUUACGCUCUGAUCAGUGAUUUACUUUGAUUGGUCGUUGUCAAGCGUUCGUCUUCUCCUUUUUUUUUUUUUGAUGGCAGAUUGCACAGUGGGGUUUGCUCUGUUGUUGAAUCUUUCUCUUCAUCAUCUGUUUUGAUUUUGAAGGAUGCUUUGCUCGGUGGAUCCUUGUCUUCUCUGCGCUACCUCUUCAGGCAGUUUUCUUCCUCUUAACCAAUAUGUCUUUUCUUUCUUUCUUUCUAUAUAAGUCAAAUUACAUAUAUCUGUUUCUUUGAUGCAGACCAUCGAGAUUAAUGUGUGUGAGGAUUUGAAGAGAAGAAAAACUAAACAUUGUGAAAGUGAAUGUUUUUGGAGGAUGCUUUGCUCGGUGGAUCCUUGUCUUCUCUGCGCUAACUCUUCAGGCAGUUUUCUUCCUCUUAACCAAUGUCUUUUCUUUCUUUCUUUCUAUAUAAGUCAAAUUACAUAUAACUGUUUCUUUGAUGCAGACCAUCGAGAUUAAUGUGUGUGAGGAUUUGAAGAGAAGAAAUAAAAAAACAUUGUGAAAGUGAAUGGUUUGCGUAUGAAGCUAGAACCAUACAAGGAGAUUGUGUCUCCUGCUUUGUUUGGCAUUAUAACUCAGGAUGCAAGCAUGCAAGGUUAUUGGUGGGAUGAGAGGUAUGACUGGAUUGCUUUGGAAAACCUCAUUGCUUGAUCCAUAUGAGGGGCAGUAAUCUUUCUCAGCAAUUCAGAUGGCCUUCAGAUGCAGAGCUCUACCGAUUGACCUGAUUCCAGGACGUGAAUCUAUUGCAGCCAAGCUUGUGUGGCAAAUUUGACAUAGCAGGUCUCUGUCUGAUUUUGCAAACCAAUUCUUUUUUAAGCUUGCUUAUGGACCGACGUGGUUCUAUAUGGGGAAGAGCACACUCUUAAAUCAUUACAACAUGAUGACAAAGUAACACGAACAUGCGACAGAUUGUGGAGGAUGCUUUGCUCGGAGGUUAAUUGUUCUGACGAUGGAUCGUUGUUUUCUCUGCACUACAUCUUCAGACCAUCGAGAUUAAUGUGUGUGAGGGUUUGAAGAGAAGAAAAAACAUUGUGGAAGUGAAUGUUUUGUGUAUGAAGCUAGAACCAUAUAAGGAGAUUGCGUCUGCUGCUCAGGGUGCAAGCAAGGUUAUUGGUGGGAAGAGAGUUAGGAAACCUCAUUGCUUGAUCCAUAUGAGGGGUAUACACUUUGAGGGGUUUGUCUCGUGUUUGAUGGUAAUCGAUUGGUGUUCUGAUCUAUGUAAUCCAUCACUGUUGAUAAGGUACUUGGUGGAAUGGGAGGGAUGACUGGAUUACGCUAGGAAACCUUAUUGCUUGUUCUUGCUGUCUACACACAUUCAGAUGAGAGAUCGAUGAUCCACAGAUUCUUUCCUACACGAAUCGUGGAGGCAUGGAGGGGGAGUGAUUUGAAAAAUUUCGUACUUUAAUUUGAAGCAUUAUAAUGGCGACUAGAGAGCAAACAAGUCAGAGAGAGAGAGAGGUGGGCGUUGAUUGAUUUAUUUGACUCUCUCGUUGAUGAUUUUUUACUGAAGAAUGAACUAGAUUCAGAACACAAUCGUCGCUAACGUGCUUGCUUAUAAAGAGAUCAUCAUCAUUCAAGCAAGCUAGAGACCAUAUGUGUACAACUAAUUCCAUUGGAUGACACCAUUCCAAUCAUGAGCCAACAACAACAAGAAGAAGUACACCUCCACUCCAGGGACCCUGAGAGACGAAUUUUGAAUUGAUAAUGGUUCUGUUUGUUCCUGUUUUCCUAGUUUUACCCACCACAUUGCUAUAGGUAAUAGGCUGAAAUCAUUGUUCGUGGUUAUGCUGGUUGGAAUUCUAGGUAUGCCUUGAAGGUCUUAGACCAAGUCUUCCCAAAGACAAAGUCUUCCCGAAAGUACACUCUCUCUUUUUAUUGACACUCUCUCUUCCCAAUGUCCAAGAAGAGCACCUCCAGGUUCCGGGCCAGCCAAGACUGCAGCCAAGCAAUAUAUGUCCAAGGAUUGUUAGCCUUCAAUCGGGCUCUUACUUUAAGCUAACUAAAAAUCAGAUCUUUGAUUAUUGGUUGGGGUUUUAGAAAGAGCAAAGAGCAAGUUGAAGUGCUGUCAAAAGAGUUGGCUCAUCGUCCGGCUGUGCUAGGAUGUACAGGUAUGGUAGCAUCAUUCCAAUAGAUGAUUCUUUGGGUUAUGCUGCAAAUUUUUCACACAUGCUGGGAUAUAAUAGUCCUCAGAUGAAAGAACUCAUGAGGCUUAUGUCAACAACCACAGGUGCCAAGCAAAGAGCAAGUUGAGUUGCUGUCAAAAGAGUUGUCUCAUCAUGCGGCUGUGCCAGUCUAAUGACUGAAUUUGCUAGUGGUGUUAUGACCCUUCAAGUGGAUGUCUCCCAGAGUAUCUAUCUAUGGUCCAAAUACUCGGCAAGUUCUGAGCCAGCCAAGCAAUGUCCCCUAUCUUGAAAUAUAUUUGCCACGAUCCAAGAAAUUGCUGGUAAGAAGAUCAAUUGUUGGUAC